AGCCGCCGCGGUAAUACAGAGGUCUCAAGCGUUGUUCGGAAUCACUGGGCGUAAAGCGUGCGUAGGCUGUUUCGUAAGUCGUGUGUGAAAGGCGCGGGCUCAACCCGCGGACGGCACAUGAUACUGCGAGACUAGAGUAAUGGAGGGGGAACCGGAAUUCUCGGUGUAGCAGUGAAAUGCGUAGAUAUCGAGAGGAACACUCGUGGCGAAGGCGGGUUCCUGGACAUUAACUGACGCUGAGGCACGAAGGCCAGGGGAGCGAAAGGGAUUAGAUACCCCUGUAGUCCUGGCAGUAAACGGUGCACGCUUGGUGUGCGGGGAAUCGACCCCCUGCGUGCCGGAGCUAACGCGUUAAGCGUGCCGCCUGGGGAGUACGGUCGCAAGAUUAAAACUCAAAGAAAUUGACGGGGACCCGCACAAGCGGUGGAGUAUGUGGCUUAAUUCGAUGCAACGCGAAGAACCUUACCUGGGCUUGACAUGUAAUGAACAACAUGUGAAAGCAUGCGACUCUUCGGAGGCGUUACACAGGUGCUGCAUGGCCGUCGUCAGCUCGUGUCGUGAGAUGUUUGGUUAAGUCCAGCAACGAGCGCAACCCCUGUUGCCAAGUUACCAGCACGUGAAGGUGGGGACUCUGGCGAGACUGCCCAGAUCAACUGGGAGGAAGGUGGGGACGACGUCAGGUCAGUAUGGCCCUUAUGCCCAGGGCUGCACACGUACUACAAUGCCCAGUACAGAGGGGGCCGAAGCCGCGAGGCGGAGGAAAUCCUAAAAACUGGGCCCAGUUCGGACUGUAGGCUGCAACCCGCCUACACGAAGCCGGAAUCGCUAGUAAUGGCGCAUCAGCUACGGCGCCGUGAAUACGUUCCCGGGUCUUGUACACACCGCCCGU
RNAcentral lists this ribosomal RNA (889 nucleotides) under uncultured bacterium. RNAcentral describes it as "bacterial SSU rRNA". It matches the Rfam family "Bacterial small subunit ribosomal RNA", at positions 510 to 1397 of the family's 1533-position model. The record is from RNAcentral.